This 563-nucleotide long non-coding RNA is filed under the name Felis catus (domestic cat). Its description in RNAcentral is "lncRNA (ENSFCAG00000044703.2)". The record is from RNAcentral. Lineage: Eukaryota; Metazoa; Chordata; Mammalia; Carnivora; Felidae.
GAAUGAGUGCCGUCUUCCUGACUCUGGAUGGCUUAUAGGAUCAUUGGAAUUGCAAUUGAAACUUUCUUUCUGCUCUGCAGGCUAACAGUCCGUGUACCUUCUUCCCUGCAACCUUGGAUGGCCGCUCCAUGGAAAAAGUACCUCAUGGAGGGAAAGAAAGAGUGUAAUGGCUUCAGACAGCUCUUUGGAUCAGAACUGUACUAGUUCUGCCUGAAGGCUGGUAUGAGACACACACAGAAGAAGCAUUGUUUGAGGGCCAUGCCACCUUCACUGAAGGCAGCCGUCACCGACCAGGACAGCAGUCAUACCCCCUGGUCUUCCUAAAUGAAUCAUAUUCUGGAUUGGCAUGGGGUUCUGUGCAGGAUAGGAGAAAGGACCACUCUGCAACCCUUUGCUCUUAAGUAUUUAAUCACGCAGCGAAAUCCAGCCUAAUGAAAUUAAGGAACUCAAGAAAUGGCUUGUUUACAGAACUGUGCUGCCUAAAAUUUACCAGGGGACCUUUAAAAAAUGCAGGUUAUUAUGGACAUUUUUGGUCGCCUAUCCAACUGAUACCUCGCCACAGC